AACUAUCAUAGUUGUCAACACCUUCCAUUGUCUUUAACAUCUUCACAGUCAACUCAGAGAUAAGUCGUGGUUGGUUGGAUCAUGAUUCCUUUCAUCUAUAUCAUAAUUAUUAUACUAAGCAGUGACAGCAAUCAAGUGAUGGCAGUUGAGUUUGAUUUCUUUAUUUUGGGUUAUCAAUGGCCAGUGAAAUUUUGCAGAAUUCAAAAUUGGAACAAAGAACCGCCAAAUACAUGUAAAUGGACUAUACAUGGACUUUGG
Saccostrea cuccullata (small rock oyster) is the source of this 258-nucleotide long non-coding RNA. RefSeq lists it as uncharacterized. The record is from RefSeq and is a predicted model, not a curated record. NCBI's taxonomy places the organism in Eukaryota, Metazoa, Mollusca, Bivalvia, Ostreida, Ostreidae. The transcript has 3 exons.